This 1145-nucleotide ribosomal RNA is filed under the name Salmonella enterica subsp. enterica serovar Typhimurium. Its description in RNAcentral is "partial 23S ribosomal RNA". It matches the Rfam family "Bacterial large subunit ribosomal RNA", at positions 578 to 1637 of the family's 2925-position model. The record is from RNAcentral. Lineage: Bacteria; Pseudomonadati; Pseudomonadota; Gammaproteobacteria; Enterobacterales; Enterobacteriaceae.
AGCACAGGUUUACCUGUGUGACUGCGUACCUUUUGUAUAAUGGGUCAGCGACUUAUAUUCUGUAGCAAGGUUAACCGUAUAGGGGAGCCGUAGGGAAACCGAGUCUUAACCGGGCGUUAAGUUGCAGGGUAUAGACCCGAAACCCGGUGAUCUAGCCAUGGGCAGGUUGAAGGUUGGGUAACACUAACUGGAGGACCGAACCGACUAAUGUUGAAAAAUUAGCGGAUGACCUGUGGCUGGGGGUGAAAGGCCAAUCAAACCGGGAGAUAGCUGGUUCUCCCCGAAAGCUAUUUAGGUAGCGCCUCGUGAAUUCAUCUCCGGGGGUAGAGCACUGUUUCGGCUAGGGGGCCAUCCCGGCUUACCAACCCGAUGCAAACUGCGAAUACCGGAGAAUGUUAUCACGGGAGACACACGGCGGGUGCUAACGUCCGUCGUGAAGAGGGAAACAACCCAGACCGCCAGCUAAGGUCCCAAAGUCAUGGUUAAGUGGGAAACGAUGUGGGAAGGCCCAGACAGCCAGGAUGUUGGCUUAGAAGCAGCCAUCAUUUAAAGAAAGCGUAAUAGCUCACUGGUCGAGUCGGCCUGCGCGGAAGAUGUAACGGGGCUAAACCAUGCACCGAAGCUGCGGCAGCGAACGUAUCACCCAAGACAACUUUACGGAGUUGACGAUUGACGGAGCGAAGCGACGUCAAAGCGUUCAUUAAAGUCGAGUUGGCUUAGGGAUACGUUCGUUGGGUAGGGGAGCGUUCUGUAAGCCUGUGAAGGUGUGUCGUGAGGCAUGCUGGAGGUAUCAGAAGUGCGAAUGCUGACAUAAGUAACGAUAAAGCGGGUGAAAAGCCCGCUCGCCGGAAGACCAAGGGUUCCUGUCCAACGUUAAUCGGGGCAGGGUGAGUCGACCCCUAAGGCGAGGCCGAAAGGCGUAGUCGAUGGGAAACGGGUUAAUAUUCCCGUACUUGGUGUUACUGCGAAGGGGGGACGGAGAAGGCUAUGUUGGCCGGGCGACGGUUGUCCCGGUUUAAGCGUGUAGGUGUGUGUUCCAGGUAAAUCCGGUUCACUUUAACACUGAGGCGUGACGACGAGGCACUACGGUGCUGAAGCAACAAAUGCCCUGCUUCCAGGAAAAGCCUCUAAGCAUCAGGUAACAC